RNAcentral lists this ribosomal RNA (884 nucleotides) under uncultured bacterium. RNAcentral's name for it is "bacterial SSU rRNA". It matches the Rfam family "Bacterial small subunit ribosomal RNA", at positions 21 to 901 of the family's 1533-position model. The record is from RNAcentral.
GGCUCAGAUGAAACGCUGGCGGAAUGCCUUACACAUGCAAGUCGAACGGCAGCACGGGAGCAAUCCUGGUGGCGAGUGGCGAACGGGUGAGUAAUACAUCGGAACGUGCCCAAUCGUGGGGGAUAACGUAGCGAAAGCUACGCUAAUACCGCAUACGAUCUACGGAUGAAAGCAGGGGAUCGCAAGACCUUGCGCGAAUGGAGCGGCCGAUGGCAGAUUAGGUAGUUGGUGGGGUAAAGGCUCACCAAGCCUUCGAUCUGUAGCUGGUCUGAGAGGACGACCAGCCACACUGGGACUGAGACACGGCCCAGACUCCUACGGGAGGCAGCAGUGGGGAAUUUUGGACAAUGGGCGCAAGCCUGAUCCAGCCAUUCCGCGUGCAGGAUGAAGGCCUUCGGGUUGUAAACUGCUUUUGUACGGAACGAAAAGCCUUUUCCUAAUACGGGGAGGUCAUGACGGUACCGUAAGAAUAAGCACCGGCUAACUACGUGCCAGCAGCCGCGGUAAUACGUAGGGUGCAAGCGUUAAUCGGAAUUACUGGGCGUAAAGCGUGCGCAGGCGGUGAUGUAAGACAGAUGUGAAAUCCCCGGGCUCAACCUGGGAACUGCAUUUGUGACUGCAUCGCUGGAGUGCGGCAGAGGGGGAUGGAAUUCCGCGUGUAGCAGUGAAAUGCGUAGAUAUGCGGAGGAACACCGAUGGCGAAGGCAAUCCCCUGGGCCUGCACUGACGCUCAUGCACGAAAGCGUGUGGAGCAAACAGGAUUAGAUACCCUGGUAGUCCACGCCCUAAACGACGUCAACUGGUUGUUGGGUCUUCACUGACUCAGUAACGAAGCUAACGCGUGAAGUUGGCCGCCUGGGGAGUACGGCCCGCAGGUUGAAACU